GCCGGGUGUGGUGGCUCACACCUGUAAUCCCAGCACUUUAGGAGGCUGAGGCAGGUGGAUCACCUGAGGUCAGGAGUUCAAAACCAGCCUGGCCAACAUGGCGAAACUCUGUCUCUA
Molecule: non-coding RNA, 117 nt
Filed under: Chlorocebus sabaeus (green monkey)
Lineage: Eukaryota; Metazoa; Chordata; Mammalia; Primates; Cercopithecidae
Source: Rfam by way of RNAcentral